GAAUUCGCCCUUAGAGUUUGAUCCUGGCUCAGGACGAACGCUGGCGGCGCGCCUAACACAUGCAAGUCGAACGAGCGAGAGAGAGCUUGCUUUCUCGAGCGAGUGGCGAACGGGUGAGUAACGCGUGAGGAACCUGCCUCAAAGAGGGGGACAACAGUUGGAAACGACUGCUAAUACCGCAUAAGCCCACGGCUCGGCAUCGAGCAGAGGGAAAAGGAGCAAUCCGCUUUGAGAUGGCCUCGCGUCCGAUUAGCUAGUUGGUGAGGUAAUGGCCCACCAAGGCAACGAUCGGUAGCCGGACUGAGAGGUUGAACGGCCACAUUGGGACUGAGACACGGCCCAGACUCCUACGGGAGGCAGCAGUGGGGAAUAUUGCACAAUGGGGGAAACCCUGAUGCAGCGACGCCGCGUGGAGGAAGAAGGUCUUCGGAUUGUAAACUCCUGUUGUUGAGGAAGAUAAUGACGGUACUCAACAAGGAAGUGACGGCUAACUACGUGCCAGCAGCCGCGGUAAAACGUAGGGUGCAAGCGUUGUCCGGAACUACUGGGUGUAAAGGGAGCGCAGGCGGGAAGACAAGUUGGAAGUGAAAACCAUGGGCUCAACCCAUGAAUUGCUUUCAAAACUGUUUUUCUUGAGUAGUGCAGAGGUAGAUGGAAUUCCCGGUGUAGCGGUGGAAUGCGUAGAUAUCGGGAGGAACACCAGUGGCGAAGGCGGUCUACUGGGCACCAACUGACGCUGAGGCUCGAAAGCAUGGGUAGCAAACAGAAUUAGAUACCCUGGUAGUCCAUGCCGUAAACGAUGAUUACUAGGUGUUGGGGGAUUGACCCCCUCAGUGCCGCAGUUAACACAAUAAGUAAUCCACCUGGGGAGUACGACCGCAAGGUUGAAACUCAAAGGAAUUGACGGGGGCCCGCACAAGCAGUGGAGUAUGUGGUUUAAUUCGAAGCAACGCGAAGAACCUUACCAGGUCUUGACAUCCGAUGCAUAGCGCAGAGAUGCGUGAAGUCCUUCGGGACAUCGAGACAGGUGGUGCAUGGUUGUCGUCAGCUCGUGUCGUGAGAUGUUGGGUUAAGUCCCGCAACGAGCGCAACCCUUAUUGCCAGUUACUACGUAAGAGGACUCUGGCGAGACUGCCGUUGACAAAACGGAGGAAGGUGGGGAUGACGUCAAAUCAUCAUGCCCUUUAUGACCUGGGCUACACACGUACUACAAUGGCGUUUAACAAAGAGAAGCAAGACCGCGAGGUGGAGCAAAACUCAAAAACAACGUCUCAGUUCAGAUUGCAGGCUGCAACUCGCCUGCAUGAAGUCGGAAUUGCUAGUAAUCGCGGAUCAGCAUGCCGCGGUGAAUACGUUACGGGGCCUUGCACUCACCGCCCGUCA
RNAcentral lists this ribosomal RNA (1383 nucleotides) under uncultured bacterium. RNAcentral describes it as "bacterial SSU rRNA". It matches the Rfam family "Bacterial small subunit ribosomal RNA". The record is from RNAcentral.